GACGAACGCUGGCGGCGUGCCUAAUACAUGCAAGUAGAACGCUGAAGGAGGAGCUUGCUUCUCUGGAUGAGUUGCGAACGGGUGAGUAACGCGUAGGUAACCUGCCUGGUAGCGGGGGAUAACUAUUGGAAACGAUAGCUAAUACCGCAUAAGAGUAGAUGUUGCAUGACAUUUGCUUAAGAGGUGCAAUUGCAUCACUACCAGAUGGACCUGCGUUGUAUUAGCUAGUUGGUGGGGUAACGGCUUACCAAGGCGACGAUACAUAGCCGACCUGAGAGGGUGAUCGGCCACACUGGGACUGAGACACGGCCCAGACUCCUACGGGAGGCAGCAGUAGGGAAUCUUCGGCAAUGGACGGAAGUCUGACCGAGCAACGCCGCGUGAGUGAAGAAGGUUUUCGGAUCGUAAAGCUCUGUUGUAAGAGAAGAACGAGUGUGAGAGUGGAAAGUCCACACUGUGACGGUAUCUUACCAGAAAGGGACGGCUAACUACGUG
This 495-nucleotide ribosomal RNA is filed under the name uncultured bacterium. RNAcentral describes it as "partial 16S ribosomal RNA". It matches the Rfam family "Bacterial small subunit ribosomal RNA", at positions 28 to 507 of the family's 1533-position model. The record is from RNAcentral.